Molecule: ribosomal RNA, 460 nt
Filed under: uncultured bacterium
Lineage: Bacteria
Description: partial 16S ribosomal RNA
Rfam family: Bacterial small subunit ribosomal RNA
Source: RNAcentral
CCUACGGGGGGCAGCAGUGAGGAAUAUUGGUCAAUGGGCGGGAGCCUGAACCAGCCAAGUCGCGUGAGGGAAGACGGUCCUAUGGAUUGUAAACCUCUUUAGGCGGGGAGCAAUGCCGGGCACGCGUGCCCGGAGGGAGAGGACCCGCAGAAGAAGCAGCGGCGAACUCCGUGCCAGCAGCCGCGGUAACACGGAGGAUGCGAGCGUUAUCCGGUUUUAUUUGGUUUAAAGGGUGCGUAGGCGGAGUGUUCAGUCAGCGGUAAACGGUCCGGGCUCAACCCGGGCCGGCCGUUGAAACUGGGGAUCUGGCGUGGGCGAGCAGUAUGCGGAAUGCGUGGUGUAGCGGUGAAAUGCAUAGAUAUCACGCAGAACUCCGAUUGCGAAGGCAGCAUACCGGCGCCCGACUGACGCUGCGGCACGAAAGCGUGGGGAUCGAACAGGAUUAGAUACCCCAGUAGUC